GGAUGGAUCAUUAAUAAAAAACAAAAAUGAGUCGCAAGACUCAUUAAAAACUGUGAAUUGUGAGCUUUUGUGGAUGUGAGACUGCGUGUCAAACAUCUACCCCCUUUUUUUUAAAAAAACCUUAAUUUUUAUACUGAAUUAAUUACCGUAAAAUCGGUAAAAAAACAAAAAUAUAUACAACUUUCAACAACGGAUCUCUAGGCUCUCGCAACGAUGAAGAGCGCAGCGAAAUGCGAUAUGUAAUGUGAAUUGCAGGACUCAGUGAAUCAUCAAAUUCUUGAACGCAAAUGGCGGUGAUAAAUCAAAAGUUUAUUACCAUGUCUGUUUGAGUGUCAGAUAUCCAAUUCUAUCUUUUUUGAUAGGUUUUGAUGUUGAAAUACUUGAUGUUUUUCUCCAUUGAAGUAUAGACUUUUGCUUAUUAUAAAAAAGAACAAGCAAGUAUUUUACUGCUUGAUGCAUUUCAAUGUAUCUAAAAAGUAUUUACAAACUUAGUUUUUUAUAUCUCUUAUGACCUCAAAUUAGGCAAGAACACCCGCUGAACUUAAGCAUAUUAAUAAGCGGAGGAAAAGAAACUAACAAGGAUUCCCCUAGUAGCGGCGAGCGAAGAGGGAGAUAGCUCAAAUUUUAAAAUCUGAUGUCUUUGACAUCCGAAUUGUAGUUUAUAGAGGCACUCUCUAGAUGAUGCUUAAUUUAAAUCCCUUGGAACAGGGUAUCAUGGAGGGUGAUAAUCCCGUAAAUGAUUAAUGAUACAUCAUCUUUUAUGUAGUGUUCUCGACGAGUCGAGUUGUUUGGGAAUGCAGCUCAAAAUGGGUGGUAAAUUUCAUCUAAAGCUAAAUAUUGGCGAGAGACCGAUAGCGAACAAGUACCGUGAGGGAAAGAUGAAAAGAACUCUGAAGAGAGGGUUAAAAGUACGUGAAAUUGUUGAAAGGGAAGCAAUUAAAAUUAGUGUUAAUGGUAAUGUAUCAAGGGAAAAAGUAGGGUAAUUAUAUGUUUUUGACUGUUAAAGCAAGAGCAUGUUUUUUUCUUUAUUUUUUUUUCUGUAUUUUCAUUAUCAUUGAUCAGUAUCAGUUAGAUUGAGAAAAGCAUGGUAGAUAUUAGGGAUGUUUCUCAGGAAACAACACGGAUAUUUACAGUUGAUUUUUAAUCUUACUGAGGAGGAAAACCCUUAUCCACAAUAUGCGCUAGCGAAGAAGUAGGUUGAUUUGAAUAGAUAUCUGAAUGGAGAACCAAGUUGUCCUGAGGGUAUUUGUUUUCAUUACUUCUUACUUUCUUUCAGCAUAUUAAAAGAUACUGAUAAAAUGAUUUUAAUCGACCCGUCUUGAAACACGGACCAAGGAGUCUAACACCAGUGCGAGUGUAAUAGUGAUUAAACUAUUAACGCAUAAUGAAAGUGAAACUUUUAGCUAGAAGGGAUUUAAUAAUCAAACGAUUAUUUUUGCACCUCCAGCCGAUCUGGAUAUUUUUUUGAAAGCAUCGAGCUCGAGCAUUGUUGUUAGGACCCGAAAGCGGUUGAACUAUGCCUGAAUAGGAUGAAGUCGAGGGAAACCUCGAUGGAGGUCCGUAGCGAUACUGACGUGCAAAUCGUUCGUCAAAUUUGGGUAUAGGGGCGAAAGACUAAUCGAAAUUGCUAGUAGCUGGUUUCCGC
RNAcentral lists this unclassified non-coding RNA (1645 nucleotides) under uncultured fungus. Its description in RNAcentral is "sequence contains 18S rRNA gene, ITS1, 5.8S rRNA gene, ITS2, 28S rRNA gene". The stretch from base 509 to 1645 matches the Rfam family "Eukaryotic large subunit ribosomal RNA", at positions 1 to 961 of the family's 3401-position model. Lineage: Eukaryota; Fungi. The record is from RNAcentral.